AUGUUGUCUGUUGCUCUUCUGCUGCUGCUGGCAGCUGGAUCCUGUGUGAAGUGUGAGACACUGACACAGCCAGCCUCUGUGACUGUGCAGCCAGGACACACUCUCACCAUCUCCUGUACUGUCUCAUACUCUGGCUACUACACUGCAUGGAUCAGACAGCCUGCUGGGAAACCAAUGGAGUGGAUUGGACACAAUUGUGCAGGAUGUUCAGCUACAAUUAAACCUUCACUGAACAACAAAUUCAGUAUAGAGCAUUCCUCCAGCAACACAGUGACUCUGAAUGGACAGAACAUGCAGCCUGGAGACACUGCAGUGUACUACUGUGCUCGGUAUCCACAGUCACACAAAGUAUAUCUAGAGCUGUACAAAAACACAUCAGGCUGUUAUUCACUUUAACUACCA
Molecule: non-coding RNA, 402 nt
Organism: Periophthalmus magnuspinnatus
Lineage: Eukaryota; Metazoa; Chordata; Actinopteri; Gobiiformes; Gobiidae
Source: the annotation of a RefSeq genome assembly